Molecule: ribosomal RNA, 403 nt
Filed under: uncultured bacterium
Lineage: Bacteria
Description: partial 16S ribosomal RNA
Rfam family: Bacterial small subunit ribosomal RNA
Source: RNAcentral
AUUGAACGCUGGCGGCAUGCCUAACACAUGCAAGUCGAGCGAGCGGCGGACGGGUGAGUAAUGUAUGGGGACUGCCUGAUAGAGGGGGAUAACUACUGGAAACGGUGGCUAAUACCGCAUACUAACGGAUAAGCCACAGGGGAUUCGCUAGGAGGUGGGGUAAAGGCUCACCUAGGCGACGAUCUAUAGAUGGUCUGAUAGGAUGAUCAGCAACACUGGGAUGGAGACACGGGCCAGACUCCUACGGAGGCAGCAGUGGGGAAUAUUGCGCAAUGGGCGAAAGCCUAAUGCAGCCAUGCCGCGUGUAUGAAGAAGGCCUUAGGGUUGUAAAGUACUUUCAGCGGGGAGGCGUUACCCGCAUAGGAAGCACCGGCUAACUCCGUGCCAGCCGCCGCGGUAAUUC